GACGAACGCUGGCGGCGUGCUUAACACAUGCAAGUCGAACGGAAAGGCCCUGCUUUUGUGGGUUGCUUGAGUGGCGAACGGGUGAGUAACACGUGAGUAACCUGCCCUUGUCUUUGGGAUAACUUCAGGAAACUGGGGCUAAUAUCGGAUAUGAUCUCCUGCUUCAUGGUGUGGGUUGGAAAGUUUCGGCGGUUGUGGAUGGUCUCGCAGCUUAUCAGCUUGUUUGUGGGGUAGUGCCUUACCAAGGCUUUGACGGGUACCCGGCCUGGGAGGGUUACCGGCCACAUUGGGCCUGAGAUAGGGACCAGAAUCCUACGGGAGGCAGCAGUGGGGAAUAUUGCACAAUGGGCGGAAGCCUGAUGCAGCAACGCCGCGUGCGGGAUGACGGCCUUCGGGUUGUAAACCGAUUUCGCCUGUGACGAAGCGUGCGUGACGGUAAUGGGUAAAGAAGCAACGGCUAACUACGUG
Molecule: ribosomal RNA, 468 nt
Filed under: uncultured bacterium
Lineage: Bacteria
Description: partial 16S ribosomal RNA
Rfam family: Bacterial small subunit ribosomal RNA
Source: RNAcentral